RNAcentral lists this ribosomal RNA (254 nucleotides) under uncultured bacterium. Its description in RNAcentral is "partial 16S ribosomal RNA". It matches the Rfam family "Bacterial small subunit ribosomal RNA", at positions 524 to 776 of the family's 1533-position model. The record is from RNAcentral.
UACGAAGGGGGCUAGCGUUGUUCGGAAUCACUGGGCGUAAAGCGCUUGUAGGCGGAUCGUUAAGUCAGGGGUGAAAUCCCGAGGCUCAACCUCGGAACUGCCUUUGAUACUGGCGAUCUUCGAGUCCGGGAGAGGUGAGUGGAACUCCGAGUGUAGAGGUGAAAUUCGUAGAUAUUCGGAAGAACACCAGUGGCGAAGGCGGCUCACUGGCCCGGUACUGACGCUUAGGAGCGAAAGCGUGGGGAGCAAACAGG